This 117-nucleotide small nuclear RNA is filed under the name Phaseolus vulgaris (common bean). RNAcentral describes it as "snRNA U5". It matches the Rfam family "U5 spliceosomal RNA". From Rfam's summary of the family: U5 RNA is a component of both types of known spliceosome. The precise function of this molecule is unknown, though it is known that the 5' loop is required for splice site selection and p220 binding, and that both the 3' stem-loop and the Sm site are important for Sm protein binding and cap methylation. Lineage: Eukaryota; Viridiplantae; Streptophyta; Magnoliopsida; Fabales; Fabaceae. The record is from Rfam by way of RNAcentral.
AACCAUGUGAUACACACAUAGCGAAUUAUUCUUUCGCCUUUUACUAAAGAAUACCGUGUGUUUGUAAUAUUAAGUGGUAUACGCCUAUUUUUGAAAGAGUUUUUCUUGAAGAACUCU